RNAcentral lists this ribosomal RNA (385 nucleotides) under uncultured bacterium. RNAcentral describes it as "bacterial SSU rRNA". It matches the Rfam family "Bacterial small subunit ribosomal RNA", at positions 29 to 441 of the family's 1533-position model. The record is from RNAcentral.
AGCGAACGCUGGCGGCAGGCCUAAUACAUGCAAGUCGAACGGUCUCUUCGGAGGCAGUGGCGGACGGGUGAGUAACGCGUGGGAAUAUGCCCUUUGGUACGGAACAACUGAGGGAAACUUCAGCUAAUACCGUAUGUGCCCUUCGGGGGAAAGAUUUAUCGCCAUUGGAGUAGCCCGCGUUGGAUUAGGUAGUUGGUGGGGUAAAGGCCUACCAAGCCUACGAUCCAUAGCUGGUCUGAGAGGAUGAUCAGCCACACUGGGACUGAGACACGGCCCAGACUCCUACGGGAGGCAGCAGUAGGGAAUCUUGCGCAAUGGGCGAAAGCCUGACGCAGCCAUGCCGCGUGAAUGAUGAAGGUCUUAGGAUUGUAAAAUUCUUUCACCG